This 235-nucleotide ribosomal RNA is filed under the name uncultured Lactobacillus sp. RNAcentral describes it as "partial 16S ribosomal RNA". It matches the Rfam family "Bacterial small subunit ribosomal RNA", at positions 127 to 355 of the family's 1533-position model. The record is from RNAcentral. Lineage: Bacteria; Bacillati; Bacillota; Bacilli; Lactobacillales; Lactobacillaceae.
UGCCCAAGAGAUCGGGAUAACACCUGGAAACAGAUGCUAAUACCGGAUAACAACAGAUGAUGCCUAUCAACUGUUUAAAAGAUGGUUCUGCUAUCACUCUUGGAUGGACCUGCGGUGCAUUAGCUAGUUGGUAGGGUAACGGCCUACCAAGGCGAUGAUGCAUAGCCGAGUUGAGAGACUGAUCGGCCACAUUGGGACUGAGACACGGCCCAAACUCCUACGGGACGCAGCAGCC